AGGAGGAGGAGGAGAAGGAGGAGGAGGAUAAAUGGGGGACCAGGGAAGUGACUUAGUGGUUAAAGCCCUGUCCUGCAGGUAUGAAGACUACAGUGUUGAUUCCAAGAAUCUGUCUAAAUGUUGGGUGGGCAUGGCAGCCAAACUGUUAUUCCAGAUUCUGAAGGCAGAGUCAUGGGAUCCCAGAGCAAACUGCUCCUGAGACUAGCCAUAUUGAUGAACUCUGGGUUUGAUUGAGAAACCCUGCCUCAAUGCUUAAGGUAGAGAUGUUUCCUGACGUCGACCUGAAGCUUUCAUAUACACAUGUACACACACACACUCACAUGUGCACAUGUACACUCACAUGUGGAUACCCCCACACAUGUAGAGUGUGCAAGCAUGAAAUGAAAAGUAAGGUUUUUUUUUUUUAAAGAUGGCGGUCAUGUUGCAGGCUUCUGGAGUAUCCCUUGCAUUAGGCAGUCUGCUCCCAGAGGACGUGGUGUAGGAGCAAAGCCUUAGUUGCUCAAAAUAUGGACCUGUCCACAAGAGGCUUCGGUGACCUCACACUGUGGCAACUAGCUUCCCCUAGACCAAGUGACUCAGGAGGGCAAGGUGAGACCACAGAUCCUCUGGUGAUGUAGCUCAGUUGGUAGAGUUCUUGCCAAGCAUGCGUGAGUCCCCAGUACCUUAUAAAACCACCCGUGGUGGCUCAGGCUCACCUGUGACUUAGGUAGAGAAAGAAGAAUCAGAAGUUCAGAGUCAUUCCCUGUUAACGUUGUAAGUAACGGACUACAUGAGUCAGACAAAUUAAUUAGUUAAUUCACUAAUCUAGGGCCUUAUUGCUGUUUUGUUUUGUUUGAAGCAGGGUAUGUAGCCAUGGCUGUUCUGGAACUCACUGUGUAGACCAGGCUGGCCUUGAACUCAGAUCCGCUUGCCUCCCAAGUGAUGGGAUUAGGCGCGUGCUACCACAGCCCUCUUUAAGACCUUUAAGGCUUUAAAACCUUGUGCUUCAGCCCGUGUCUCUCGGUUUCUGCAUCUGUAGUGUGUAGCUGGAUAACACACAUAACAGCUGUGUGACAGCCUCAUCAGUGCCCGGCACGUAGGAGACCGAGGCUGCAUCUCUGCCACUGUUAAAGAGUCACGCUCGGCUUUGUGUCUUCAAGAUCUUUGCAUCAGUUUGACCAACCUCUGAGGCUGAGAGGAGAGAAGCUGAUGCCAAGUCCAGGCUUCCAACCUUCGUCAUAUGUAGCAAUUUGGAUGAAGGGGGAGGGGGGGCUAGAGAGAUAACUAGGCAGUUAAAAACAGGGACUAACUGCCCUUGCAGAAGACCCAAGUUCAGCUCCCAGCAUCCUCUUCUUUGGCUGUCUCACCACCUCCUAUAACUCCCAAUUCCAGAGGAUCUGAUACCCUCUUCUGGACUCUGCAGGUACCUGUACUCACAUGCACAAAUAAUCCCCCAGCCCCCUAU
This 1444-nucleotide long non-coding RNA is filed under the name Mus musculus (house mouse). RNAcentral describes it as "long non-coding RNA chr11:57665726-57667170". The record is from RNAcentral. Lineage: Eukaryota; Metazoa; Chordata; Mammalia; Rodentia; Muridae.